CACGCCCAGUGACAGAAGUGGGCCAGGGACAGAAUCUUCAGAAACAUUAACAUUUAAGGAGUAGCUACAGCUAGCAGAUCCAACAAAGGAAACCAGGAAAGAAAAGCCAUAAGCAAAAGGAAACUAUAAGGGGAAAGUGUUAGCUCAGAAGUCACACAAAAUGAAAAUGGAAAUGGACAGUAAUGCCAAAUGGCACACAGACACUGAAAAGCAUUUACUAAAUUUGGCAUUUUGAAAAUCAUUAAAGUUAUUUUACUGGAAUGGUUCAAUAGAGUGAGCUACUUGGGCUAAGAGAUAUUGCUGUGGGGUGACUAGUGGGACAAAGCGAGAGCAAGUAGAGAUAGCGAGUGUAGGCUGCUGGGAGACACUUGCUAAAGAUAGAAGCAGAAUAGCAACUAUAAGGAGAUACUUGAUGAGGGGAAGUAUUUUCCUUUUCCUCAGUUUUUUUUUUUUUUUUUUUUUUUUUUAAGAGGGAUUUGUAUAUGGUCUAUGAGGAAGGUGAUAGUAGAAAGGAAGAGAAAGGACCCAACAGAGCCAUGUCCUGGAGGAGACAGCAAGGAAUCAGCUACAGAGCACAGGUUUCCCAGCCAGCCGCUUAUUGUGAAAAGCUGUUCUGAUGUUUGCAGCCCUCUCACACUCAAGAAUGACAAUAGUCAGGCUUUUGGAUACUGGAUGACAAGAUACAGCACCACAAUGCAAUGACCUCCUUUACUGUGGAAAAACUGGUGACAGAUCAGUAGAAGUUAGUGAACUCAGUAGAAGUUAGGAAGACACAAAAUAUUUGAUAGUUGCUAGCUUGUCUUUUUUUUUUUUUUUAACUUUUUCUUAAGCUGCAGGCAAAGUUUUAUUUUAAUUUCCGGAUGUUUUUUGAAAAGUUAAAUAAAUACGGAAGUGCUAUCAGGUAUCUGUGUUUCCAAUAUCCACAAUUAAUUAAUGUUAAUAUUUUGGCAUCAUUGCUUCAGAUAUACUUUAUAUAUGAAAGAAAUAAAAUAUUACUUAGUUGAAGUCUUUCUCAUUCUUAUUCCCUCUUUACUUCUCCCCAAAUAAACUUUCAUUAGCUUAGUUUAUAUCAUUCCAGUUUGUGUUUUCAUAUUUUUACUACAUACUUUAGAAACAUCUAAGAAAACAUAUAAUGUUAUAUUAUGUUUUUCAAUUUUAUAUGAAUGCUUUC
Molecule: long non-coding RNA, 1171 nt
Filed under: Papio anubis (olive baboon)
Lineage: Eukaryota; Metazoa; Chordata; Mammalia; Primates; Cercopithecidae
Description: lncRNA (ENSPANG00000045588.1)
Source: RNAcentral